RNAcentral lists this ribosomal RNA (313 nucleotides) under uncultured bacterium. RNAcentral describes it as "bacterial SSU rRNA". It matches the Rfam family "Bacterial small subunit ribosomal RNA", at positions 28 to 334 of the family's 1533-position model. The record is from RNAcentral.
GACGAACGCUGGCGGCGUGCCUAACACAUGCAAGUCGAACGGACCGAAUUAGAGCUUGCUCUGAAGAGGUUAGUGGCGGACGGGUGAGUAACGCGUGAGUAACCUGCCUAUAAGAGGGGGAUAACGUCUGGAAACGGACGCUAAUACCGCAUAACAUUUUUGUAUCGCAUGAUACAGAAAUCAAAGGAGAAAUCCGCUUAUAGAUGGACUCGCGUCCGAUUAGCUAGUUGGUAGGGUAAAAGCCUACCAAGGCGACGAUCGGUAGCCGGACUGAGAGGUUGAACGGCCACAUUGGGACUGAGACACGGCCCAG